UAUUCCUGACCUCGGAUCAGACGUGAAUACCCGCUGAACUUAAGCAUAUCACUAAGCGGAGGAAAAGAAAC
This 71-nucleotide ribosomal RNA is filed under the name Haplorchis taichui. RNAcentral's name for it is "partial 28S ribosomal RNA". It matches the Rfam family "Eukaryotic large subunit ribosomal RNA", at positions 1 to 65 of the family's 3401-position model. Lineage: Eukaryota; Metazoa; Platyhelminthes; Trematoda; Opisthorchiida; Heterophyidae. The record is from RNAcentral.